AUGGAAAGGCUGAUCCUAAGUUAGUAUAGGGUUAGGAAAUAUUGAGCAAGAUAAGCUUGCUACAAGUACAAUAGUUUUCCGAAGCUUUGACAGUAUGUCUUAGUGUGAAAGUUUUUCCGAGUUGAGUAGCUUGGCUAGGAAGCCAGCCCAUUUUGUAGGAAAAACUUUCAUAUCUAUGAUCUUUCAAACUGUCCGACUAA
Molecule: long non-coding RNA, 200 nt
Organism: Lycium ferocissimum
Lineage: Eukaryota; Viridiplantae; Streptophyta; Magnoliopsida; Solanales; Solanaceae
Exons: 2
Source: RefSeq, a predicted model, not a curated record